Molecule: long non-coding RNA, 468 nt
Organism: Oncorhynchus tshawytscha (Chinook salmon)
Lineage: Eukaryota; Metazoa; Chordata; Actinopteri; Salmoniformes; Salmonidae
Source: Ensembl
GCUUGAGCCACGCUAAGAAUUCAAAGUAUGAAAGUCAAUGGUCCGACAUUCUAGAACACUGCUGUGUUUACACAUACACGUUUUGGACUCUGAUAGCCGCUUUAGACUCAGGCAUCGGUGAGCAGACAGGGAAAGAGAGCGAGAGAGAAAGAUAGAGAUGGAUAGAGUAAGAGGGAGAGGAGAGAGAGAGAGGGAAAGAUGGAGAGAGAGAGAGGCAGAGAGGGAGACAGAGAGAGAGAGAGGGAGCUGCAGAGAGAGAGAGAGAGAGAGAGCAGCAGAGAGAGAGAGAAUAAGAGAGAGAGAGAGAGCUGCAGAGAGAGAGAGAGAGAGAGAGAGAGAGAGCUGCAGAGAGAGAGAGAGAGAGAGAGAGAGAGAGAGAGAGAGAGAGAGAGAGCUGCAGAGAGAGAGAGAGAGAGAGAGCUGCAGAGAGAGAGAAUGAGAGAGAGAGAGAGAGAGAGAGAGGGGGAG